CGUGGGUAACCAGCCUUAUAGUGGGGGAUAGCCUUUCGAAAGGAAGAUUAAUACCGCAUAAGAUUGUAGUAUCGCAUGAUAUAGCAAUUAAAGGAGCAAUUCGCUAUAAGAUGGACCCGCGUCGCAUUAGCUAGUUGGUGAGGUAAUGGCUCACCAAGGCGACGAUGCGUAGCCGACCUGAGAGGGUGAUCGGCCACAUUGGGACUGAGACACGGCCCAGACUCCUACGGGAGGCAGCAUG
This 241-nucleotide ribosomal RNA is filed under the name uncultured bacterium. RNAcentral's name for it is "partial 16S ribosomal RNA". It matches the Rfam family "Bacterial small subunit ribosomal RNA", at positions 116 to 353 of the family's 1533-position model. The record is from RNAcentral.